This 217-nucleotide long non-coding RNA is filed under the name Hordeum vulgare. RNAcentral describes it as "long non-coding RNA (HVUL_LNC002658)". Lineage: Eukaryota; Viridiplantae; Streptophyta; Magnoliopsida; Poales; Poaceae. The record is from RNAcentral.
UGGCUUCUCAGGUCGGAGGAAAACGGAGGAACAACGGAGGCUUUUUGCGGUUGGUGCGUGAAAGUUGUUGAUGCGAACAAAAGUUUCAAAAUAUUUAAAGUUCAAAGUGGAAUCAGUCAGAUUGAAGAAAUAGAACUGUGGAGCUGGAGGGAAUACUACGAUGCUCGAUCGAAUAAUUCGACGGCCAGACAAACAAGAAUGUAAGAAUUAACUAAAG